Molecule: long non-coding RNA, 369 nt
Organism: Branchiostoma floridae (Florida lancelet)
Lineage: Eukaryota; Metazoa; Chordata; Leptocardii; Amphioxiformes; Branchiostomatidae
Exons: 3
Source: RefSeq, a predicted model, not a curated record
ACCCAAGGGGCUUACAACCUGGACUACUGGGUGACGUCAUACAAGCUGGCGUUCUCUGCGAAUGGCCAAACAUGGACACCGUACGUAAACGGCACCGGGCACAGCGAGGUUUUCCAAGGAAACAACGACAACCAUCGGUAUGCUCGCAACCUGCUGGACAACCCUGUUCUUGCACAAUACACCCGAAUCUACCCGCUCACCUUCCACGGGCGGGUUGCACUGAGGGUCGAGGUACUCGUCGAAGAUGGUUCCGGUUGUGCAUCUGACGAGGUCCUCUGUAACGGGACAUGUCGACCGAAGGAAAGUUUCUGUCCUUCUUUUGCCGGAUGUGUGCCGGAGCGCUUUAACUAUGGAGACGAGUAACUACAC